CCCUUAGAUGUCCUGGGCCGCACGCGCGCUACACUGAGUGUCUGAGAUACGAGUCUGCCUGGUCCGGCAAGGUCUAGGUAAUCGCUAAAAGACACAUCAUGCUUGGGAUAGAUUAUUGCAAAUAUUAAUCUUGAACGAGGAAUUCCUAGUAAGCGCAAGUCAACAGCUUGCGUUGAUUACGUCCCUGCCCUUUGUACACACCGCCCGUCGCUACUACUGAUUGGAUGUUUAAGCGAGGUUCUCGAACUGCUAGCGACUUAGUUUCGGUGAGGUCGCAGUGUGGGAAGUGAACCUAGCUUUGGUGUCUAGAGGAAGUAAAAGUCGUAACA
This 329-nucleotide ribosomal RNA is filed under the name uncultured eukaryote. RNAcentral's name for it is "partial 18S ribosomal RNA". It matches the Rfam family "Eukaryotic small subunit ribosomal RNA", at positions 1470 to 1796 of the family's 1831-position model. The record is from RNAcentral.